GAUGAACGCUGGCGGCGUGCCUAAUACAUGCAAGUCGAACGAGUCCUGAUUAUUGAAAGGUGCUUGCAUCCUGAUUUAAUUUUGAACGAGUGGCGGACGGGUGAGUAACACGUGGGUAACCUGCCCUUAAGUGGGGGAUAACAUUUGGAAACAGAUGCUAAUACCGCAUAAAUCCAAAAACCGCAUGGUUCUUGGCUGAAAGAUGGCGUAAGCUAUCGCUUUUGGAUGGACCCGCGGCGUAUUAGCUAGUUGGUGAGGUAACGGCUCACCAAGGCAAUGAUACGUAGCCGAACUGAGAGGUUGAUCGGCCACAUUGGGACUGAGACACGGCCCAAACUCCUACGGGAGGCAGCAGUAGGGAAUCUUCCACAAUGGACGCAAGUCUGAUGGAGCAACGCCGCGUGAGUGAAGAAGGCUUUCGGGUCGUAAAACUCUGUUGUUGGAGAAGAAUGGUCGGCAGAGUAACUGUGUCG
RNAcentral lists this ribosomal RNA (473 nucleotides) under Lacticaseibacillus rhamnosus. RNAcentral describes it as "bacterial SSU rRNA". It matches the Rfam family "Bacterial small subunit ribosomal RNA", at positions 28 to 474 of the family's 1533-position model. Lineage: Bacteria; Bacillati; Bacillota; Bacilli; Lactobacillales; Lactobacillaceae. The record is from RNAcentral.